Molecule: long non-coding RNA, 1009 nt
Organism: Orcinus orca (killer whale)
Lineage: Eukaryota; Metazoa; Chordata; Mammalia; Artiodactyla; Delphinidae
Exons: 3
Source: RefSeq, a predicted model, not a curated record
AGAAGAGGUGCGGUUACUGCUGCUUGACAACUGGGCAGUGAGCCUCAAAGAAGUGAAGAGACUUGCCCAGGUUCACACAGCUCGUCCUGGAGGGAGCAGAGGGCCAUCUGCGUCGCCCCAGACACGGGAGGAUGAACCAUAUUCUCAUGGGCCUCUUAUGAGACAGCUCUGCCAACAGCUAGUUGUGCAGGGAAAGCUGGAAGCAUGAAAAAUACCAGGAAUCCCAGGCCUGGCUAAGAAGAGACGGCUCCAGAUCAAUAGCAAAAUCUCUGGAUGGUCUCGGGUACGAGCGUGGAGGGCGGAAGAGCCUCACUGGCCAGUUGGCCACUUCCAUCUCUUCUGAAGGGCAGACUGAGGGCAAGGGAAAGUCAAGUGCCCAGACAGGGCUCCCAGCUUGCAGCCCAGGGGGAGAAGCCUUGCACGCCUACCAGCUUGCAACACCUUCCUGCCCAGCCUAAGUGGCAAUGGUUGGGUCAAGAUGCAGCACUCGUGGUCCAGGGGCUGUCUCAGCGGAAGGAAGUCUACCCUCACCCCCACUUCGGGCUGAACAGGGUGGAGCCUGCCAGGAAGGUUUAAAGAAUAAAUAGGGGUUGGGACUUCCCUGGUGGCGCAGUGCUUAAGAACCCGCCUGCCAAUGCAGGGGACACGGGUUCAAGCCCUGGUCCAGGAAGAUCCCACAUGCUGCGGAGCAACUAAGCCCACGAGCCACAACUACUGAAGCCCACAUGCCUAGAGCCCGUGCUCCGCAACAAAGAGAAGCCACUGCAAUGAAAAGCCUGUGCACCGCGAGGAAGAGUAGCCCCCGCUCGCCACAACUAGAAAAAGCCCGCACGCAGCAAUGAAGACCCAACGCAGCCAUAAAUAAAUAAAUUUAUAUAUAUAUAAAAAAAAGAAUAGAUAGGGAUGCAGGAGCAGCUCUGUGUUCAGGAAAAAGCACUGGGCUAAGGCCAGCUCUAGGUUUGCGCCAGCUCUGUCCCUUUUGGAGGCGUGGCCUGGGGUCCAGCCCCGU